Brassica napus (rape) is the source of this 46-nucleotide non-coding RNA. Lineage: Eukaryota; Viridiplantae; Streptophyta; Magnoliopsida; Brassicales; Brassicaceae. The record is from Rfam.
AUCAUGGUUCUAUUAAGAUCCACAAACAUAAAAACAUAAAAUUUAU